RNAcentral lists this long non-coding RNA (458 nucleotides) under Pan troglodytes (chimpanzee). Its description in RNAcentral is "long non-coding RNA NONPTRT010473". The record is from RNAcentral. Lineage: Eukaryota; Metazoa; Chordata; Mammalia; Primates; Hominidae.
GUUUGAGUCCACUGGAAUUGUCCCUAAACAUUUGGGUUUUGGUAACACUGAUAAGUGGAAUUUCAUUGAAGUGUAGCCAAAUGGCAGUAGAUUAAAAUGUGAAUAAGAGAAAAAAGUGGAGUGAAAAGUGUAUGAAGACACAUCUUUUGAGAAGUUUGACUAUAAAGAAUAGCAGAUAAAUAGAAUGUGACAGCUUAAAAAAGUUCUCUCAUCCUCUUUCCAAAAGAUAUUUGAAAGACUAAAUUUUAGGAACCAAGUCUAGAGGAGCUGACACUAUCUGGGACAUGCAAUUCUCAAGUGGAUGGAUGGAAUAUGAGUGUUUGAAUGUGAAUAUUGCAGCAAUCAAGCUUUUGCUAUGCAGAGAAGGAAUAUGAAAAGGAAUUAAAGAUCAGGUAUGACACAACAAAAAAUGAAAAGGAACUGGAUAACUGAGUAAACUUUUGGAUUAGAGCUCUCUG